UGUUGGUGUCAUGUGAAUGCCUUAUAGGCGAGAGGAACACUUUUGCUCGCUUAUUGUCAUGAGUGUUAGGCGUUUCGCCAGAGACAAAGAGGAAUGUGGCAAAGGAGGAGGGUGACAUUCGCUGGUCGGGAAUGAUUUCGAAGCAUGUUUGCGACGAGCAUGGUCACUGGUGACGAGAAGGUGGUGGUAGUGAGAGAGAAAAAUCUUGUGCAUGAUGCGAUAUUGCACUAUUUAAUAAAAGUUGUAUUAUUCAAAUAUAUGUUGGACUAUUUAGCAAGAAAAUUGUAUUAUUUUACAGUUUAAUACACAUAUCAAAAAAUGCAACUCUUUUGCUAAAUAUUGCAAUAUAUAUAUGCUUGAAUAAUGCAAUUUUUUGACAUAGUGCAAUAAAAUAUUAUUCGCCAGAUUUUUCUCUCUCUCAUUAUCACCAUCACUUCGCAACUGCCAUCACGCUCACAAGCGUGCUCAGGAGCAUUCUCAACCAGUGA
RNAcentral lists this long non-coding RNA (488 nucleotides) under Ananas comosus (pineapple). RNAcentral's name for it is "long non-coding RNA (ACOM_LNC003043)". The record is from RNAcentral. Lineage: Eukaryota; Viridiplantae; Streptophyta; Magnoliopsida; Poales; Bromeliaceae.